AAAAAAAACACCCCGACGACGUCCCGCCGUUUCUAUACGGCGAUAGAACCGCGGACAGGACCCGGGGUGUAACAUCACGCGCGGCGAAAAUCCCGGGACGGGUUUCCGUCAUAAUGUACGCGAAACGAUGGUCGGUCGCGUCGUUUCCCAUUACGUAGCAAAUAAUAUUAUUAUGACAACGCGUUUGUUUAGAAAUGUAUUUUAAUUUCUCGUCUGCAAAUAACAUUGUAUUGUAAUAUUGCGUUUUUAUAGGUUUAUCGAAAGUUGUCGAUUUAACCGUCGUGUAUCGGAUUUUUCAACGGCAUUUUUCGUUUUCUUUUACGCGCAUUAUUCGUUCGAUCAGUCCGGUGUGCGCGCCCGCGGGGCGCGGCACUUUCCUUUCGCGCGUAGGCGGAAUCACAGAAAAUAAAAAAAAACAGUUUAAUCGAGCGCGCUCGAUCGCUUUUCAGACGCUUUUUCGACCGGUCUUUAAUAUCCCACGUGAUUUCUCAUUAGCUCGUCACCGUCCGCGAACAGUACCUGUCAGACGCCACGCUAAUAACGCGUCACAGUUCGGGCGUCCGACGACCGGAGACGUUAUUGCGAGAAGAAAAGACGCGCACCGCGGCAUUCCGG
This is a non-coding RNA of Cinara cedri, 615 nucleotides long. The record is from the annotation of a GenBank genome assembly. Lineage: Eukaryota; Metazoa; Arthropoda; Insecta; Hemiptera; Aphididae.